UACGUAGGGUCCGAGCGUUGUCCGGAUUUAUUGGGCGUAAAGAGCUCGUAGGCGGCUUCGUAAGUCGGGUGUGAAAACCCCAGGCUCAACCUGGGGACGCCACUCGAUACUGCGGUGGCUUGAGUCUGGUAGGGGAUCUCGGAAUUCCUGGUGUAGCGGUGAAAUGCGCAGAUAUCAGGAGGAACACCAGUGGCGAAGGCGGAGAUCUGGGCCAGUACUGACGCUGAGGAGCGAAAGCGUGGGGAGCGAACAGG
Molecule: ribosomal RNA, 254 nt
Filed under: uncultured bacterium
Lineage: Bacteria
Description: partial 16S ribosomal RNA
Rfam family: Bacterial small subunit ribosomal RNA
Source: RNAcentral